GGAUCCAGACUUUGAUUAUGGCUCAGGAUGAACGCUAGCUACAGGCUUAACACAUGCAAGUCGAGGGGAAACGACAUCGAAAGCUUGCUUUUGAUGGGCGUCGACCGGCGCACGGGUGAGUAACGCGUAUCCAACCUGCCCACCACUUGGGGAUAACCUUGCGAAAGUAAGACUAAUACCCAAUGACGUCUCUAGAAGACAUCUGAAAGAGAUUAAAGAUUUAUCGGUGAUGGAUGGGGAUGCGUCUGAUUAGCUUGUUGGCGGGGUAACGGCCCACCAAGGCGACGAUCAGUAGGGGUUCUGAGAGGAAGGUCCCCCACAUUGGAACUGAGACACGGUCCAAACUCCUACGGGAGGCAGCAGUGAGGAAUAUUGGUCAAUGGACGAGAGUCUGAACCAGCCAAGUAGCGUGCAGGAAGACAGCCCUAUGGGUUGUAAACUGCUUUUAUAAGGGAAUAAAGUGAGUCUCGUGAGACUUUUUGCAUGUACCUUAUGAAUAAGGACCGGCUAAUUCCGUGCCAGCAGCCGCGGUAAUACGGAAGGUCCGGGCGUUAUCCGGAUUUAUUGGGUUUAAAGGGAGCGUAGGCCGGAGAUUAAGCGUGUUGUGAAAUGUAGACGCUCAACGUCUGCACUGCAGCGCGAACUGGUUUCCUUGAGUACGCA
RNAcentral lists this ribosomal RNA (663 nucleotides) under uncultured Bacteroidota bacterium. RNAcentral describes it as "bacterial SSU rRNA". It matches the Rfam family "Bacterial small subunit ribosomal RNA", at positions 1 to 652 of the family's 1533-position model. The record is from RNAcentral. Lineage: Bacteria; Pseudomonadati; Bacteroidota.